GCAGGGAAAAAGGGGAAUUCGGAUAAAGCUUCCUCUCAAGCUUUCAAAUCUUGUUGACACUGUAAUGGCCGUUUUAUACCUCAACAAAAAGUUGACUUCUAAUUUAACCUAUAAGUUAUCGUUGACCCGGCCAAAUCGACUCAUUGUUAACAAUUCUUAACAGCUCUCCUAACAGCGUAACUAACAACUGUUUUCGUCCUUAAACCAACGAUAACGGCUGUUAGGCCAUGUUUUGUAACGGCUGUUAGGAGCGUGGUAUCUUAGCCAAAAACGUAAACCUGUGAUUUUCCCGCCAAAAACGUAAAUCCGUGAUUUUUCCGCCAAAAACGUAAACACCGUAAUUUUCCGGCCAAAAACGUAAAUCCGUGAUUUUCCUGCCAAAAAUGUAAAUCCGUGAUUUUCCCGCCAAAAACGUAAACCCGAGAUUUUCCCGCCAAAAACAUAAACCCUUAAUUUUCCCGCCAAAAAACGUAAACCCGUGAUUUUCCCGCCAAAAACGUAAAUCCGUAAAAAGUGGAAUCCGUAAAUAUCCUAAGUUUGAUGAUAAUGAAUUAAUAAUGAUAAUUAUUUAUUAUUUUUUAUAAUAAUUAAUUAAAUUAUUACUUAAAUGGGUUAACCCAUUUAACAAUUUAAUCCAUCAAAUUAAAUGAGUUAUGGAUUGACACAACCCAUUUUGUUAAAUGGGUUGUGUCAAUCCAUAACUCAUUUAACCCUAAACUUAUUUGAUUAUGAGUUGAGUUGAGUUGGGUUACCCAUUUUGACAUCCCUACUCGCGGUAUACCCGAGCUAAUUAAUUUAUAACUAAAU
Molecule: small RNA, 807 nt
Filed under: Arabidopsis thaliana (thale cress)
Lineage: Eukaryota; Viridiplantae; Streptophyta; Magnoliopsida; Brassicales; Brassicaceae
Description: ATSL082140
Rfam family: MIR405 microRNA precursor family (bases 613-734)
Source: RNAcentral